AAAACUUUGUCCAGGGUUACUACAUAACAUAGCACGACAACUGUAAACUAUGUACUACUGUACUAAAGAACCCCCGGAAUGAUGUAGGCUAUGGGGCCACAUAAGACUUUGUCCAUCCAGGGUUACAUUGAACGAGAACUUUAAACUAAAGAACCCCCUGAAUGAUGUAGGCUAUGGGGCCACAUAAGACUUUGUCCAUCCAGGGUUACAUUGAACGAGAACUUUAAACUAAAGAACCCCCUGAAUGAUGUAGGCUAUGGGGCCACAUAAGACUUUGUGCAUCCAGGGUUACAUAGCAGGACAACUUUAAACUAAAAAGCUACCAGACUGGGAUUUUAGUGUAUCAAGGAUCUAACAAAGUGUGCAAUGCAUGUGUAUACGUAUACAGUGACAGUGUUUAGUGUAUACCCUAAGGAUUAAGUGUAGUGUACAUUGUGCUUUUUAGUGUCACAAGAGUUUAAUAAAGAAUUAUACCUUCAAGAACCAUCCUUUGCCAUUGGAAUAACCACACUACACAUCAUGCAAUCUACUUGCAUGUCACACAGGUAAGGUCUCU
Molecule: long non-coding RNA, 556 nt
Organism: Macrobrachium nipponense
Lineage: Eukaryota; Metazoa; Arthropoda; Malacostraca; Decapoda; Palaemonidae
Exons: 5
Source: RefSeq, a predicted model, not a curated record